UGCCAGCAGCCGCGGUAAUACGGAGGGGGCGAGCGUUAUUCGGAAUUAUUGGGCGUAAAGGGCGCGUAGGCGGCUUUUUAAGUCAGAUGUGAAAGUCCACAGCUCAACCGUGGAAGUGCAUUUGAAACUGGGAGGCUUGAGUAUUGGAGGGGGUGGUGGAAUUCCCGGUGUAGAGGUGAAAUUCGUAGAUAUCGGGAGGAAUACCGGUGGCGAAGGCGACCACCUGGUACAGUAUUGACGCUGAGAUGCGAAAGCGUGGGGAGCAAACAGGAUUAGAUA
Molecule: ribosomal RNA, 279 nt
Filed under: uncultured bacterium
Lineage: Bacteria
Description: partial 16S ribosomal RNA
Rfam family: Bacterial small subunit ribosomal RNA
Source: RNAcentral